GGAAACCCAAGUCGGGACCCCAGGACGCGAUUCGGCUUCUAGCUUCGCCUCCAAUCAGGACACUCCUGGUAAAUUGGGCAGACAAGAAAUGGAAAUCGCAGGCGCCUCUAAAUGGAAGCUUGCUAAGCCAAUAAAGGCACAUCGCAGGGAGGCCAGGGAUCCUGCGACAGAGGCGCGGCGGACACUGAAACAAAACUCGGUUCUUUGGCGGAGAAGGAGAGGAGGGCGUCGGGAAGACUGUGCUGGGAAAGAAAAAGCUCAGGCGCGGCUACAGCCGAAGGACUCGGGAACAGAGGCGCCGCGGCCCUGCCAGCCUGGCUGCCACUAAGGAACUCUGUUAUGGCAACCGCGGAAACUGCACGUUAGAACCCAUCAGAGCUGUGUAUUCGGCGGUGCCACCGAGAAGACGCGCGCACAGAACAACUAGCUGAGCCGAGACCAAGAGAAAGUGGGCGGGAGAGAAUGGUGUGCUGGGAUUCCGCAAAGGACCUCAACUAGCCUUAGUGCCAGGGACAAACUUCCACUUUGGCGCCAACCACGGUGCUGUCACCUAGCAUCAGGCUACGCAAAGAAAGGAGCCUUACUGCCACCCAGGCUUGGUGCAAAUAUGUGCUGUGACAGGAAAACUGUCGGGGGCACGCUGCUGGUCAGAGAGCUAAUGGGAACACCGGGAAAGGUAACCGGGAAAGGCUGCACCAACUGGCCUAGGAAGGAGAAAGGGAUAGCCCAGAGUUCUCUCUGUCCAACUAAUGGCAGUGCUAAGGAGAAAAAGCAGGCUCUUUCUCUUUAGGGUGCGGCGCAAGUGAACUGCGAUUCCAAUUGCUGGCUUCACUGGACCCUGCCUGCAAAAGCCAAAACCAGCUUAUGGCUUUGCCGAGGCCAAAGGCAUCGCUUCUGGCUCCUUCAGCGGUGCAGCAAGUAAAUCUACACCAGCUGGUAGCAGCAAUGUCGAUCUGCACUACUGGAAGGGAUGCCCCACAGAGACUGCAGACUCCACCAUGUGCAUCUCCAGCAGCCCUUAAGAUCUGCCACACUCCUCUGGUCCCAUCAAAUCAAUUCCAUCCUCUUCCUAAAUGAGCCUGGGAUGUUUGCAGGAGGCACAGGUGUCCCAGAGAGGCUCUGCCAGUGAUUCUCCAGAAGCCUUUGGUCUACUACGAGGGGAGCACCCUGAUUUCUCUUGUUCUGGGGAUUCAGCCUCUUGGACUGUGCAGAUACUUUGUUUUUCCAGUUCUCCAGCCUACAGACUGCCAUUGUGGAUGAUCCAGCUUCUGGUCAAGAGUAGCCCAGAAGAGUAGAAAUCAUCAGGCAAGGGGACUCUGAAGACUUUUCAUCCUCUGAGAGUCUGCAGCUAUGGAGAAGCAUUUCCCCAGCUGUGUGAAGGAGGCCUGGGAUUGUGGCUCCAGGGCCACAGGCACUGCUGGCCCUCAUGGAAUCAGAUCCUAGGCCCUGGCCUCUGUCUUUUUAUCCUAGGCUGAGCUUCCUUUCUUGGAAUCACCAGGACUUUAACCGUGAAACACUUUUAAAACCCUGUGGGUUUCUUGGCUCUGACUGCCCCCUCCAUGAAUCCGGAUUGCACAGCACUUUGAGAAGAGGCACAGAGCUGCCUGCCUGCCCAGGCCCAAAGCCUCUGACCCAGCAAGAGCCGCAUACCCCACUAGGAGAAUUGGAUGCCUCUAAGAAACUAGGCAGACCAGUGCCCAUGCUCUUUCCAGCAUUGUGCUGUGCGGAUGUCAAGAGCCACUGCCUGAGGUUUCCACUCCCAUGCAGAGACUUUAGAUUUUAAGGCUCUGGACUCCUGGCUGCCUGCCUUUGGCUUGAGAGCACUGGCAACUCUGCGAACAUGCUGCAAUGGAUGAUCAUCUGAGAAGAAACAGUGUUAAAAUAAACAAUUCUCAGAUUAGCAACCAAGUGAGAAGUUUACGCCUUCUUGAAUUUUCAUAAAAU
Molecule: long non-coding RNA, 1944 nt
Organism: Marmota monax (woodchuck)
Lineage: Eukaryota; Metazoa; Chordata; Mammalia; Rodentia; Sciuridae
Exons: 4
Source: RefSeq, a predicted model, not a curated record